RNAcentral lists this long non-coding RNA (569 nucleotides) under Prunus persica (peach). Its description in RNAcentral is "long non-coding RNA (PPER_LNC000092)". Lineage: Eukaryota; Viridiplantae; Streptophyta; Magnoliopsida; Rosales; Rosaceae. The record is from RNAcentral.
CCAUCAAUUAAAGGGCACAAAAGACAUACAGUUAGAGGAUCAGAGGACCAACUUGGCACACCUUUCCUUUUGCGUGUGUGUGUUUCUUUAGCAGCUUUGCCUAUCAUUUUAGACAUGCGUAUUUUGCCUUUAUCAGUCCAAAACAAAUUAGCAAAAGAAAUGCUCUUUUUAAUCGGCUAGUCAAAUAUUUCCUCCUAUGCAGAGUGAUCAAUUUCUGUACAUCAAUUUGAUUUGAAUGAGUCACACAAAAAACCAAUUUGCAAAUUUGCUCUUCCAAUUUGACACGGCAAAUAUGAGAAAUACAUUUAGCUAGCUUCAAACACUUGGCUGUACCAUGUGCCUGUGGCAAUCAAUCAAGGUGGGGUUUGCCUAAAAGAAACGUCGAACAAAAAGAAAGAAAAAAAAAAAAAGAUGAUCACAGCUUUCGCGCUAUUUGCAUGUAAGUUUGUGUUUGGAGUGGCUUUGUUGAUGGGAAUCCUUAUAGGAGCAGGCCGUUCUACUUUUGCCCCCACAAAUUACGUCUUCAGCUCACUUUUUUGGGUUCUUCCUUUGUUUUUUUAGCAUUUUUU